AUGCAUGAUAAUUGCAGUUGCAAUGCUAAAAAUCACCACAUCGGCUCUCUUUAAAUUUUUAGACCGAGGCAAAUACCCAACAUCGACCAUGCACGUGACGAAACUCUCAAGUGCCCGAGCAAGGCAGUAGAGUGAAAUCUCUAUCCUUCUGCUCUUCUUCUCAAUUGCCAGGGCCAGACCAGUAGGUAACUGCCAAAAGAUUUUAUGUUAACUUUAUAGUGGGAGAAGUAAACACCUGGUUAAGAAAAUUAAUUGAAUGGUCCUAUACCGUUCCCAGUGCCACCAUGGUUAUGUUACAUCUCUUGAACAGCCUGAAGAGGGACCAUGCACGUGACGAAACUCUCAAGUGCACGAGCAAGGCAGUAGAGUGAAAUCUCUAUCCUUCUGCUCUUCUUCUCAAUUGCCAGGGCCAGACCAGUAGGUAACUGCCAAAAGAUUU
RNAcentral lists this long non-coding RNA (439 nucleotides) under Nicotiana benthamiana. RNAcentral's name for it is "long non-coding RNA (NBEN_LNC018906)". Lineage: Eukaryota; Viridiplantae; Streptophyta; Magnoliopsida; Solanales; Solanaceae. The record is from RNAcentral.